CUUCAUCCCCCCCUGCCAUUGCAGAACCUGCACAAUAUAGCGUGCAGAGUUAUGGUGCCAAGCCCGAUGGCACAACUGACUCAACCAAGGCCUUUCUUGCUGCAUGGGACCAGGUCUGUGGGUCUACGGCACCUGCCUCUCUAUACGUGCCUUCAGGGAAGUUUUCUCUAGGCAAAGUGACCUUUCAGGGCCCCUGCAAGAACAGUGCCAUUGUAGUUACUAUCGAUGGUACCCUUGUGGCUCC
Molecule: unclassified non-coding RNA, 244 nt
Filed under: Hevea brasiliensis (rubber tree)
Lineage: Eukaryota; Viridiplantae; Streptophyta; Magnoliopsida; Malpighiales; Euphorbiaceae
Source: RNAcentral